Long non-coding RNA from Rosa chinensis, 427 nucleotides. RefSeq lists it as uncharacterized. The record is from RefSeq and is a predicted model, not a curated record. The transcript has 2 exons. Lineage: Eukaryota; Viridiplantae; Streptophyta; Magnoliopsida; Rosales; Rosaceae.
CUCCAAGAAGGAGAUCGAAGAGGAUUUCAUACAGAUGCUCAGCCACCGCCCUCCCGCUACCCCAAGAAGAGGCCCAGAGUGGUGCAGAAGCAAUUGGAUAUAAGCAUUGUUUUCCGAUAUAUGGUUGACGGAGUCUUAGCUGAUUCGUACAAGGUUGCGGAGUUCCCUGAAAAUGUCAAGGUAUAUGCUUUCGUCGGGGUUCUCUUUGAAAAUUUCAAAAGUUUCGUGCUUUCAUUGUAACAGAAUGAUAACAAAUAAGGGCCCUAGUAGUUUAGGUCUCUAGCUUCUGGAUUAUAAAGUUUUGCUUCAAUGUAAUUGAGUACUUGUGUUGUGGGUUCAUAAGAAGAACAUGGAAUUCGAAGUUCCUGCUCUUCUUCUCUUUUGUCACUAAUCUAUUUAAGUAUCAAUGGAUGAACAAAAUUUGUUU